Molecule: ribosomal RNA, 440 nt
Filed under: uncultured bacterium
Lineage: Bacteria
Description: partial 16S ribosomal RNA
Rfam family: Bacterial small subunit ribosomal RNA
Source: RNAcentral
CCUACGGGUGGCAGCAGUGGGGGAUAUUGCACAAUGGGCGGAACCCUGAUGCAGCGACGCCGCGUGAGUGAUGAAGUAUUUCGGUGUGGAAAGCUCUAUCAGCAGGGAAGAAAAUGACGGUACCUGACUAAGCCGCCCCGGCUAACUACGUGCCAGCAGCCGCUGUAAUACGUAGGGGGCCAGCGUUAUCCGGAUUUACUGGGUGUAAAGGGAGCGUAGACGGCUAAUCAAGUGAGACGUGAAAACCCAGGGCUCAACCUUGGGAGUGCGUUUGAAACUGAGUAGCUAGAGUGCAGGAGAGGUAAGCGGAAUGCCUAGUGUAGCGGUGAAAUGCGUAGAUAUUAGGAGGAACACCAGUGGCGAAGGCGGCUUACUUGACUGUAACUGACGUUGAGGCACGAAAGCGUGGGGAGCAAACAGGAUUAGAUACCCGUGUAGUC